UACGAAGGGGGCUAGCGUUGUUCGGAAUUACUGGGCGUAAAGCGCGCGUAGGCGGUGAUCCAUGUCAGAGGUGAAAGCCCGGGGCUCAACUCCGGAAUUGCCUUUGAAACGGGAUCGCUAGAGUCCGAGAGAGGAUGGCGGAAUUCCUAGUGUAGAGGUGAAAUUCGUAGAUAUUAGGAAGAACACCGGUGGCGAAGGCGGCCAUCUGGCUCGGUACUGACGCUCAGGCGCGAAAGCGUGGGGAGCAAAC
This 250-nucleotide ribosomal RNA is filed under the name uncultured bacterium. Its description in RNAcentral is "partial 16S ribosomal RNA". It matches the Rfam family "Bacterial small subunit ribosomal RNA", at positions 524 to 773 of the family's 1533-position model. The record is from RNAcentral.